This 381-nucleotide ribosomal RNA is filed under the name uncultured bacterium. RNAcentral describes it as "bacterial SSU rRNA". It matches the Rfam family "Bacterial small subunit ribosomal RNA", at positions 524 to 901 of the family's 1533-position model. The record is from RNAcentral.
UACGGAGGGUGCAAGCGUUAAUCGGAAUUACUGGGCGUAAAGCGCACGCAGGCGGUUUGUUAAGUCAGAUGUGAAAUCCCCGGGCUCAACCUGGGAGCUGCAUCUGAUACUGGCAAGCUUGAGUCUCGUAGAGGGGGGGUAGAAUUCCAGGUGUAGCAGUGAAAUGCGUAGAGAUCUGGAGGAAUACCGGUGGCGAAGGCGGCCCCCCUGGACGAAGACUGACGCUCAGGUGCGAAAGCGUGGGGGAGCAAACAGGAUUAGAUACCCUGGUAGUCCACGCCGUAAACGAUGUCGACUUGGAGGUUGUGCCCUUGAGGCGUGGCUUCCGGAGCUAACGCGUUAAGUCGACCGCCUGGGGAGUACGGCCGCAAGGUUAAAACU